Molecule: ribosomal RNA, 492 nt
Filed under: uncultured bacterium
Lineage: Bacteria
Description: partial 16S ribosomal RNA
Rfam family: Bacterial small subunit ribosomal RNA
Source: RNAcentral
AGUGAACGCUGGCGGUAGGCCUAACACAUGCAAGUCGAACGGCAGCACAGUAAGAGCUUGCUCUUACGGGUGGCGAGUGGCGGACGGGUGAGGAAUACAUCGGAAUCUACUUUUUCGUGGGGGAUAACGUAGGGAAAAUUACGCUAAUACCGCAUACGACCUACGGGUGAAAGCAGGGGAUCUUCGGACCUUGCGCGAUUGAAUGAGCCGAUGUCGGAUUAGCUAGUUGGCGGGGUAAAGGCCCACCAAGGCGACGAUCCGUAGCUGGUCUGAGAGGAUGAUCAGCCACACUGGAACUGAGACACGGUCCAGACUCCUACGGGAGGCAGCAGUGGGGAAUACUGGACAAUGGGCGCAAGCCUGAUCCAGCCAUACCGCGUGGGUGAAGAAGGCCUUCGGGUUGUAAAGCCCUUUUGUUGGGAAAGAAAAGCAGCAGGUUAAUACCCCGCUGUUCUGACGGUACCCAAAGAAUAAGCACCGGCUAACUUCGUG